UUAAGCGACUAAGCGUACACGGUGGAUGCCCGGCAGUCAGAGGCGAUGAAGGACGUGCUAAUCUGCGAAAAGCGUCGGUAAGGUGAUAUGAACCGUUAUAACCGGCGAUGUCCGAAUGGGAAACCCAGUGUGAUUCGUCACACUAUCGUUAACUGAAUACAUAGGUUAACGAGGCGAACCGGGGAACUGAAACAUCUAAGUACCCCGAGGAAAAGAAAUCAACCGAGAUUCCCCAGUAGCGGCGAGCGAACGGGAGCAGCCCAGAGUCUGAAUCAGCUUGUGUUAGUGGAACGGUCUGGAAAGUCCGACGGUACAGGGUGAUAGUCCCGUACACCAAAAUGCACAGGCUGUGAACUCGAAGAGUAGGGCGGGACACGUGGUAUCCUGUCUGAAUAUGGGGACCAUCCUCAAGGCUAAAUACUCCUGACUGACCGAUAGUGAACCAGUACCGUGAGGAAAGGCGAAAAGAACCCCGGCGAGGGAGUGAAAAGAACCUGAAACCGUGUACGUACAAGCAGUGGGAGCACCUUCGGGUGUGACUGCGUACCUUUGUAUAAUGGGUCAGCGACUUAUAUUCUGUAGCAAGGUUAACCGUAUAGGGAGCCGCAGGAAACCGAGUCUUAACUGGGCGUUAAGUUGCAGGGUAUAGACCCGAAACCCGGUGAUCAGCCAUGGGCAGGUUGAAGGUUGGGUAACACUAACUGGAGGACCGAACCGACUAAUGUUGAAAAUUAGCGGAUGACUUGUGGCUGGGGUGAAAGGCCAAUCAAACCGGGAGAUAGCUGGUUCUCCCGAAAGCUAUUUAGGUAGCGCCUCGUGAAUUCAUCUUCGGGGUAGAGCACUGUUUCGGCUAGGGGUCAUCCCGACUUACCAACCCGAUGCAAACUACGAAUACCGAAGAAUGUUAUCACGGGAGACACACGGCGGGUGCUAACGUCCGUCGUGAAGAGGAAACAACCCAGACCGCCAGCUAAGGUCCCAAAGUCAUGGUUAAGUGGGAAACGAUGUGGAAGGCACAGACAGCCGGAUGUUGGCUUAGAAGCAGCCAUCAUUUAAAGAGCGUAAUAGCUCACUGGUCGAGUCGGCCUGCGCGGAAGAUGUAACGGGCUAAACCAUGCACCGAAGCUGCGGCAGCGACACUAUGUGUUGUUGGGUAGGGAGCGUUCUGUAAGCCUGCGAAGGUGACCUGUGAGGGUUGCUGGAGGUAUCAGAAGUGCGAAUGCUGACAUAAGUAACGAUAAAGCGGGUGAAAAGCCCGCUCGCCGGAAGACCAAGGGUUCCUGUCCAACGUUAAUCGGGGCAGGGUGAGUCGACCCUAAGGCGAGGCCGAAAGGCGUAGUCGAUGGAAACAGGUUAAUAUUCCUGUACUUGGUGUUACUGCGAAGGGGACGGAGAAGGCUAUGUUAGCCGGGCGACGGUUGUCCCGGUUUAAGCAUGUAGGCUGGUUAUCCGAGCAAAUCCGGAUAAUCAAGGCUGAGGUGUGAUGACGAGGCACUACGGUGCUGAAGUAACAAAUGCCCUGCUUCCGAGAAAAGCCUCUAAGCAUCAGGUAACAUCAAAUCGUACCCCAAACCGACACAGGUGGUCAGGUAGAGAAUACCAAGGCGCUUGAGAGAACUCGGGUGAAGGAACUAGGCAAAAUGGUGCCGUAACUUCGGGAGAAGGCACGCUGGUGUGUAGGUGAAGUCCCUGCGGAUGGAGCUGAGACCAGUCGAAGAUACCAGCUGGCUGCAACUGUUUAUUAAAACACAGCACUGUGCAAACACGAAAGUGGACGUAUACGGUGUGACGCCUGCCCGGUGCCGGAAGGUUAAUUGAUGGGGUUAUCCGUAAGGAGAAGCUCUUGAUCGAAGCCCCGGUAAACGGCGGCCGUAACUAUAACGGUCCUAAGGUAGCGAAAUUCCUUGUCGGGUAAGUUCCGACCUGCACGAAUGGCGUAAUGAUGGCCGGCUGUCUCCACCCGAGACUCAGUGAAAUUGAACUCGCUGUGAAGAUGCAGUGUACCCGCGGCAAGACGGAAAGACCCGUGAACCUUUACUAUAGCUUGACACUGAACAUUGAGCCUUGAUGUGUAGGAUAGGUGGGAGGCUUUGAAGCGUGGACGCCAGUCUGCGUGGAGCCAACCUUGAAAUACCACCCUUUAAUGUUUGAUGUUCUAACGUUGGCCCCUGACCGGGGUUGCGGACAGUGUCUGGUGGGUAGUUUGACUGGGGCGGUCUCCUCCCAAAGCGUAACGGAGGAGCACGAAGGUUAGCUAAUCGGUCGGACAUCAGGAGGUUAGUGCAAUGGCAUAAGCUAGCUUGACUGCGAGCGUGACGGCGCGAGCAGGUGCGAAAGCAGGUCAUAGUGAUCCGGUGGUUCUGAAUGGAAGGGCCAUCGCUCAACGGAUAAAAGGUACUCCGGGAUAACAGGCUGAUACCGCCCAAGAGUUCAUAUCGACGGCGGUGUUUGGCACCUCGAUGUCGGCUCAUCACAUCCUGGGGCUGAAGUAGGUCCCAAGGGUAUGGCUGUUCGCCAUUUAAAGUGGUACGCGAGCUGGGUUUAGAACGUCGUGAGACAGUUCGGUCCCUAUCUGCCGUGGGCGCUGGAGAAUUGAGGGGCUGCUCCUAGUACGAGAGGACCGGAGUGGACGCAUCACUGGUGUUCGGGUUGUCAUGCCAAUGGCACUGCCCGGUAGCUAAAUGCGGAAGAGAUAAGUGCUGAAAGCAUCUAAGCACGAAACUUGCCCCGAGAUGAGUUCUCCUGAGACUUUAAGUCUCCUGAAGGAACGUUGAAGACGACGACGUUGAUAGGCCGGUGUGUAAGCGCAGCGAUGCGUUGAGCUAACCGGUACUAAUGAACCGUGAGGCUUAACACA
RNAcentral lists this ribosomal RNA (2857 nucleotides) under Klebsiella pneumoniae. RNAcentral's name for it is "bacterial LSU rRNA". It matches the Rfam family "Bacterial large subunit ribosomal RNA". Lineage: Bacteria; Pseudomonadati; Pseudomonadota; Gammaproteobacteria; Enterobacterales; Enterobacteriaceae. The record is from RNAcentral.